This 520-nucleotide ribosomal RNA is filed under the name Arthroleptis wahlbergii (Wahlberg's forest frog). RNAcentral's name for it is "partial 16S ribosomal RNA". It matches the Rfam family "Bacterial large subunit ribosomal RNA", at positions 1916 to 2603 of the family's 2925-position model. The record is from RNAcentral. Lineage: Eukaryota; Metazoa; Chordata; Amphibia; Anura; Arthroleptidae.
UGAUUACUUCAAUGGCCGCGGUACCCUGACCGUGCGAAGGUAGCACAAUCACUUGUCCUUUAAAUAAGGACUAGUACGAAUGGCACCACGAAGACUACACUGUCUCCUUUUUACAAUCAGUGAAACUGAUCUUCCCGUGAAGAAGCGGGAAUUAUUCUAUAAGACGAGAAGACCCCAUGAAGCUUCAAAUAAGUAUCAACUGUUAACUUUACACCACCAGAUACCUAAUAGCCGUGACUACUAAUUUUUGGUUGGGGCGACCACGGAGUAAAACAAAACCUCCACAAUGAAAAGACCUAACCCAUUAUUCAAGAACAACAGUUCUAACAAUCAACACAUUGACAUAANUUGACCCAAACCCUUUGAUCAAUGAACCAAGUUACUCUGGGGAUAACAGCGCUAUCUAUUUCAAGAGUUCAUAUCGACAAAUGGGUUUACGACCUCGAUGUUGGAUCGGGGUAUCCCAGUGGUGCAGCCGCUACUAAAGGUUCGUUUGUUCAACGAUUAAAACCCCACGUGA